Molecule: ribosomal RNA, 408 nt
Filed under: Triticum aestivum (bread wheat)
Lineage: Eukaryota; Viridiplantae; Streptophyta; Magnoliopsida; Poales; Poaceae
Description: partial small subunit ribosomal RNA
Source: RNAcentral
CGUGACAGGAAUAUUUGGCGGGCAAGAUGCCCACUGAUAUGCUUCUAUGCUGUCGAGUGGCACUACCCAGACCGUGUCGCAAGACAAUUUGGGAGAAGGCAAGGGACACCAAGGGAUGAGAGUUUCGAGAAGUGCCAAUUUCUGCAUCGAAUUAGUCGAAAGAAUAACCUGGAAACUUCGACUUGGGCCAUCAAGCACUCCGAGUGGAUAAGUCUGUGGAAUCAAAGAGUGGCCCUAGUGGAGAAGGAAAGAAGACAACAUAGUGAUUCAGUAUACGAAGAGCAUCUGAAGUGGCUUGCGAGACGUUACCGGUUGAAGCUAAAGCCCGGUUGGAACCGUUCGGAAUUGGAAGAGUUGGAUCGUGAGAGCGGGUAUAUGGACUUCAAUGUACAAACGAGAGACAACGAA